GUAGAAUCUGCAGUCAUUUCCCUCUCUUUCAUUUUGGAUAUUGAUCUCCAAGAGCUCACUGAGCUCAGGGGGAUAAAAGCCCCUCACGAAUGUUCUCUGCUGCCAUUCCCCACAAAACCAAAUUCUUCACCGAACCCAGAAGACUAUAGGCCUCGAGAGAUGCUUAACUGAAAAGAUUCAGCUGAAUCAAACUUGGACAAGGAAGAAAAGGUUCACACACCUAAUUCCCAUUUUUCUGAAACCAGUGGUGGUUAUUAAUGACUAUGAGUACAGCAACAAGUCCCUUAGAGAGGAUGGAAAUAUUAUACCCAGGAAUUCAGUGAUGUGAUGAAAUGAACACAAACAUGUUGAUGAAGGCAGAAGACUCAGGGAAACAAUUUACAUGUGGCUCUUACAUAGAUGCUCAAAGGCCACCAGACAUCCCAUCUACAGCAGGGUGCCCUCGUAUACUGACAGUUUCAGCUUAUACAAACCAGUCUGACCACACGGUGUAUUCACUCGACCACUGGGACAAGAACAAGUAUACUAGUUAAGCGGGCAGACUUCUCCUGGAUUGGAAUUGCAGUUCCUAAAUUCAAAUUUAACUCUGAGGGUAUACCCCUUUCCAACAUGCCUGAGAACACAGACUAAUCAAAUCCAUAUAUCUCCUAACUUAAGGGAGACUCUGCUAACAACUUUGCAAAUACUGCUUUUUACAAAUCUUAAAAGUCAAGUUUAACAGUAAAAUUAAAUGCAUACUCAUGGGAGAUGCUGAUGGGCAAAAUGAUAAUGAGAUUGCCUGUAGGCCACCUCCUGAUGGAAAGUUUUUAAUGCUUCUGUUUGGCUUUACAAGUGUUUUGUUAAAGCCUAUUCCAUUUCUCUUACAUUGUUUUUGUGGGAUUUUUUUGAAGAUGGUGAUGAAAAAGAAUAAGGGCAGUAUAGCAAUUAUGUAUUACAUGAGAUUACUUGAUGUUUCAUUAGAUACCAUCUUAGUAAUACCAGAAUGUAUAUUUAAAAGAGCAUUGCUUUUUAGUGCCCUAUUAAUCUGAUUUGAAUUCAAAUCCCACCACUGCUAGCUAUGCGACCUUCGACAAAUGCUUACCUUCUCGGACCCUCUGUGUCCUCAUUUGCAUAAACAUGGAAUCACAUGGAAUUAGUUCAGAAAGAAUUAAAUAAAACUAGUGCGGUAGGUGGCAAAAUGUCAGUUCUGACUUCCCGUUGCUGUAUUUCCUCUGUAUUACCAUUGUUAGAAUCCAACAAUGUU
This 1243-nucleotide long non-coding RNA is filed under the name Equus caballus (horse). Its description in RNAcentral is "lncRNA (ENSECAG00000054619.1)". The record is from RNAcentral. Lineage: Eukaryota; Metazoa; Chordata; Mammalia; Perissodactyla; Equidae.